UCGCGGCUUAUCACCGGCAGUCCCCUUAGAGUGCCCAACUGAAUGAUGGCAACUAAGGGCGAGGGUUGCGCUCGUUGCGGGACUUAACCCAACAUCUCACGACACGAGCUGACGACAGCCAUGCAGCACCUGUGUGGCGUCCAGCCGAACUGAAGGGGUCAAUCUCUCGACCCCGCGACGCCCAUGUCAAGGGCUGGUAAGGUUCUGCGCGUUGUGUCGAAUUAAACCACAUGCUCCACCGCUUGUGCGGGCCCCCGUCAAUUCCUUUGAGUUUCAACCUUGCGGUCGUACUCCCCAGGCGGGGUACUUCCUGCGUUAGCGCCGGCACCCAGAGGGUCGCUCCCCCAGGCACCUAGUACCCAUCGUUUACGGCGUGGACUAC
RNAcentral lists this unclassified non-coding RNA (382 nucleotides) under uncultured bacterium. Its description in RNAcentral is "contains 16S-23S intergenic spacer region". The record is from RNAcentral.